Long non-coding RNA from Cyprinus carpio carpio, 633 nucleotides. NCBI's taxonomy places the organism in Eukaryota, Metazoa, Chordata, Actinopteri, Cypriniformes, Cyprinidae. The record is from Ensembl.
CGGUGAUGAACCUCAGGCUUAGCGAAGACCGAGGCCAGGUAAGUUACACUGGUUUGCUGCGAUCUUCGUCGGAUUACAACUUUAAAUGCAGACCAGACCCCUGUGCAGGAUAAAGCUGAAUGUGGCAGCGCUGGACAGGUGUUUAAUGGUUUUGUUCUGAGCAGGGAGACCCUGACUGUGCAGCUGGAUCUACUGAGAAGUGAACGGCAACAUGGAUGGUGUGCCACGAUCCAGACUCUGAUGUUUCUCUUCUGUCUGCCAGAGGUACAUCAUACAGAUGGUCUCCAGUGUUUGACAUGUGCCUCGUUCCACUGUCACCGCACUGUCCUCAGAGUCUCUGAGGAGGUGCUGGCCUUCACCAAGAGACUGACCUCCUGAAGACCCCAGAAUACACGGAGGCAGGGCCGGGCUCAAACUGAUGUUGUUUUCUGAUGUUAAACCUAAGCUAUGUUGUAAAUGGUUAUAAAAAGUACUUUCUAUUAUGUAUAGAACAAUUUGCUUUAAUGUGUAAAAAAGUAUUUACAGGACAAACAAAUAAACAUAUAAAAAUGUUUUGUGAAAAAAAAAAAAAUAAGCUGCAUUAAAAAUAAUGUACAUAAGCACUUUUUAUUUACACAAGUGAAUAUGCAAAAC